GACGAACGCUGGCGGCGUGCUUAACACAUGCAAGUCGAACGCUGAAGGCCCAGCUUGCUGGGUUGGAUGAGUGGCGAACGGGUGAGUAACACGUGAGUAACCUGCCCUCUUCUUUGGGAUAACGGUCGGAAACGGCUGCUAAUACCGGGUAUUCACUGUCCUUCGCAUGGGGGGUGGUGGAAAGGUUUUUUCUGGUGGGGGAUGGGCUCGCGGCCUAUCAGCUUGUUGGUGGGGUGAUGGCUUACCAAGGCUUUGACGGGUAACCGGCCUGAGAGGGUGACCGGUCACAUUGGGACUGAGAUACGGCCCAGACUCCUACGGGAGGCAGCAGUGGGGAAUAUUGCACAAUGGGCGAAAGCCUGAUGCAGCGACGCCGCGUGAGGGAUGGAGGCCUUCGGGUUGUAAACCUCUUUCGCUCAUGGUCAAGCCGCAACUGUGGUUGUGGUGAGGGUAGUGGGUAAAGAAGCACCGGCUAACUACGUGCCAGCAGCCGCGGUAAUACGUAGGGUGCGAGCGUUGUCCGGAAUUAUUGGGCGUAAAGGGCUUGUAGGCGGUUUGUCGCGUCUGCCGUGAAAUCCUCUGGCUUAACUGGGGGCGUGCGGUGGGUACGGGCAGGCUUGAGUGCGGUAGGGGAGACUGGAACUCCUGGUGUAGCGGUGGAAUGCGCAGAUAUCAGGAAGAACACCGGUGGCGAAGGCGGGUCUCUGGGCCGUUACUGACGCUGAGGAGCGAAAGCGUGGGGAGCGAACAGG
Molecule: ribosomal RNA, 752 nt
Filed under: uncultured Actinomyces sp.
Lineage: Bacteria; Bacillati; Actinomycetota; Actinomycetes; Actinomycetales; Actinomycetaceae
Description: bacterial SSU rRNA
Rfam family: Bacterial small subunit ribosomal RNA
Source: RNAcentral